This 326-nucleotide long non-coding RNA is filed under the name Setaria viridis. Its description in RNAcentral is "long non-coding RNA (SVIR_LNC006936)". The record is from RNAcentral. Lineage: Eukaryota; Viridiplantae; Streptophyta; Magnoliopsida; Poales; Poaceae.
GCAAGGGUAACAUAGAAGGGAUAAUUUCCUCCAUUAUUAAUCAUCGCGGCAUGGUAACAACGGUGCAAAUAAAGGUAUUUUGAAAUAAAGGAUCCCUAGAAUUUUUGACACCUGAUUGACAGUUACCUUUAUUUCAAGAGGAGAUAAGAUCUCCUUCCAAAGAUGGUCACAUUGACCAAAGGUUGAUCCUUAUACCCACCAAACUAGUCGAUAAAGGCUUGGGGGUUGUGUGCCAUGUGUCUAUCGACAAAAAGUUUUUGUCUCUAGGUUUUAAGGGGAAAGUGAUGCAAAUUACAGAUUGACCCUCAGCUUGAUUCUUCGAUUCA